UGGCAAGUCGGCGGGAAACACCUCGGUCCAUACGUCGGGGAUACGCAUUGGGGAAAAAAAAUCCGCGGGCGAAAAUCUGAAUCCGAAGCAUCAAGCCGACGACUUAGCGCGAGAUCGAACGAACCGAGGUUAGUGGACGGAGGACCGGGUAUGUAUGUCAUCUGCCGUCGGGAAGUCCUGAAACAGCUAAAAUUCACGUUAAAAUUUCGCUUUGACGUUGAAUACGAAACAGUAAUCGCUGUUCUUGGAGGGAAAGAAAUAUAGAACUAAAGAAGAAAAAAAUGAAAGAGUUGUUAUAGUGCACUGUGGCUACUUUGAUAGAUAUAGAGAAGAGUUGAUAU
RNAcentral lists this small RNA (341 nucleotides) under Histoplasma capsulatum. RNAcentral describes it as "hypothetical RNA". Lineage: Eukaryota; Fungi; Ascomycota; Eurotiomycetes; Onygenales; Ajellomycetaceae. The record is from RNAcentral. RNAcentral also lists the same sequence under 1 other name.